GAGUUUGAUCCUGGCUCAGAACGAACGCUGGCGGCAUGCCUAACACAUGCAAGUCGAACGAACUCUUCGGAGUUAGUGGCGCACGGGUGCGUAACGCGUGGGAAUCUGCCCUUGGGUACGGAAUAACUCAGAGAAAUUUGUGCUAAUACCGUAUAAUGACUCCGGUCCAAAGAUUUAUCGCCCAAGGAUGAGCCCGCGUAAGAUUAGCUAGUUGGUGGGGUAAAGGCCUACCAAGGCUACGAUCUUUAGCUGGUCUGAGAGGAUGAUCAGCCACACUGGGACUGAGACACGGCCCAGACUCCUACGGGAGGCAGCAGUGGGGAAUAUUGGACAAUGGGCGAAAGCCUGAUCCAGCAAUGCCGCGUGAGUGAUGAAGGCCUUAGGGUUGUAAAGCUCUUUUACCCGGGAUGAUAAUGACAGUACCGGGAGAAUAAGCUCCGGCUAACUCCGUGCCAGCCG
Molecule: ribosomal RNA, 459 nt
Filed under: uncultured microorganism
Description: bacterial SSU rRNA
Rfam family: Bacterial small subunit ribosomal RNA
Source: RNAcentral